Molecule: ribosomal RNA, 244 nt
Filed under: uncultured bacterium
Lineage: Bacteria
Description: partial 16S ribosomal RNA
Rfam family: Bacterial small subunit ribosomal RNA
Source: RNAcentral
UGCGAGCGUUACCUGGAUUUAUUGGGUUUAAAGGGAGCGUAGGUGGACAGUUAAGUCAGUUGUGAAAGUUUGCGGCUCAACCGUAAAAUUGCAGUUGAUACUGGCAUCCUUGAGUACAGUAGAGGUAGGCGGAAUUCGUGGUGUAGCGGUGAAAUGCUUAGAUAUCACGAAGAACUCCGAUUGCGAAGGCAGCUCACUGGACUGUUGACUGACACUGAGGCUCGAAAGUGUGGGUAUCAAACAG